GUCUACAGCCAUACCACCCUGAAUGUGCCCGAUCUCAUCUGAUCUCGGAAGCUAAGCAGGGUAGGGCCUGGUUAGUACUUGGAUGGGAGACCACCUAGGAAGACCAGGUGCUGUAGGCA
Molecule: ribosomal RNA, 119 nt
Filed under: Pteropus alecto (black flying fox)
Lineage: Eukaryota; Metazoa; Chordata; Mammalia; Chiroptera; Pteropodidae
Source: RNAcentral